GUGGAGCAUGUGGCUUAAUUUGACCCAACGCGGGAAAUCUUACCAGGUCCGGACAUAUUGAGGAUUGACAGGUGAUAGUUAUAAUAAUAUUUAUAUUAUUAUAGCAUAAAUAUGAUAGUCCUUUCAUGAUUAUAUGAUAGGUGGUGCAUGGCCGUUCUUAGUUCGUGGAGUGAUCUGUCUGCUUAAUUGCGUUUCACUAUUUAAUAGGUAGUGUCUCUAAAUAAUAUAUUCAAUUGUUCUGCUUUAGUUUACUAAAGAAUGUGAACUUGAUUUAUUAUAUAGAACAUUUAACCUUAAUGUGAAUGCAACGAACGUGACCG
RNAcentral lists this ribosomal RNA (320 nucleotides) under Foraminifera environmental sample. RNAcentral describes it as "SSU rRNA". It matches the Rfam family "Eukaryotic small subunit ribosomal RNA", at positions 1176 to 1450 of the family's 1831-position model. Lineage: Eukaryota; Foraminifera. The record is from RNAcentral.